This 429-nucleotide ribosomal RNA is filed under the name Chloroflexota bacterium. RNAcentral's name for it is "Chloroflexi bacterium partial 16S ribosomal RNA". It matches the Rfam family "Bacterial small subunit ribosomal RNA", at positions 355 to 776 of the family's 1533-position model. The record is from RNAcentral. Lineage: Bacteria; Bacillati; Chloroflexota.
UGGGGAAUAUUGCACAAUGGGCGCAAGCCUGAUGCAGCCAUGCCGCGUGUAUGAAGAAGGCCUUCGGGUUGUAAAGUACUUUCAGUCGGGAGGAAGGUGGUAAGGUUAAUAACCUUAUCAAUUGACGUUACCGACAGAAGAAGCACCGGCUAACUCCGUGCCAGCAGCCGCGGUAAUACGGAGGGUGCAAGCGUUAAUCGGAAUUACUGGGCGUAAAGCGCACGCAGGCGGUUGAUUGAGUCAGAUGUGAAAUCCCCGGGCUUAACCUGGGAACUGCAUUCGAAACUGGCAGGCUAGAGUCUUGUAGAGGGGGGUAGAAUUCCAGGUGUAGCGGUGAAAUGCGUAGAGAUGUGGAGGAAUACCGGUGGCGAAGGCGGCCCCCUGGACAAAGACUGACGCUCAGGUGCGAAAGCGUGGGGAGCAAACAGG